Belonocnema kinseyi is the source of this 267-nucleotide long non-coding RNA. RefSeq lists it as uncharacterized. NCBI's taxonomy places the organism in Eukaryota, Metazoa, Arthropoda, Insecta, Hymenoptera, Cynipidae. The record is from RefSeq and is a predicted model, not a curated record. The transcript is spliced from 2 exons.
GUCAUUUUCCGGAGUGUUCAGUGAAGCAUGUUCUGCUUUGAAGAACGUGGUUUUAAAUAAGUAUUUUUCUCUCAGUGGAUGGUUUUAGUAAGAGUUUGGUUUUUUUGCUCAAUUGGAAAAGCACCUGACCGGAAAUCAGAAGUUUUGUGGUUCGAUUCCCAAUGGAGUGAAGAUGGAGUAGGAUCUUUUUUUCAAGAAAUAAUUUUAAUUCAAAGGAAUAUUACUCCAAAUUCAAUAGUUUGCGAAUAACUCAUCUAAUUCCAGGUA